This 591-nucleotide ribosomal RNA is filed under the name Vibrio sp. BTTV4. RNAcentral describes it as "bacterial SSU rRNA". It matches the Rfam family "Bacterial small subunit ribosomal RNA", at positions 69 to 648 of the family's 1533-position model. Lineage: Bacteria; Pseudomonadati; Pseudomonadota; Gammaproteobacteria; Vibrionales; Vibrionaceae. The record is from RNAcentral.
GUAUCUGAACCUUCGGGGAACGAUAACGGCGCAAUUGGCCGACGGGCGAGUAAUGCCUAGGAAAUUGCCCUGAUGUGGGGGGUAACCAUUGGAAACGAUGGCUAAUACCGCAUGAUGCCUACGGGCCAAAGAGGGGGACCUUCGGGCCUCUCGCGACAGGAUAUGCCUAGGGGGGAUUAGCUAGAUGGGGAGGCAAGGGCUCACCAAGGCGACGAUCCCUAGCUGGCCGGAGAGGAUGAUCAGCCACACUGGAACUGAGACACGGCCCAGACCCCUACGGGAGGCAGCAGGGGGGAAUAUGGCACAAUGGGCGCAAGCCAGAUGCAGCCAUGCCGCGAGUGAGAAGAAGGCCUCCGGGAUGAAAAGCACUUCCAGCCGGGAGGAAGGAAGCGCAGCCAACAGCAGCAACACCCGACGGGAGCGACAGAAGAAGCACCGGCAAACGCCGGGCCAGCAGCCGCGGAAACACGGAGGGCGCGAGCGAAAACCGGAAUCACGGGGCGAAAAGCGCACGCAGGAGGCAAGAAAAGACAGACGCGAAAGCCCGGGGCUCAACCCCGGAAGUGCAUAAGAAACCGGCAGACAAGAGCA